RNAcentral lists this ribosomal RNA (429 nucleotides) under Bacteroidota bacterium. RNAcentral's name for it is "Bacteroidetes bacterium partial 16S ribosomal RNA". It matches the Rfam family "Bacterial small subunit ribosomal RNA", at positions 355 to 776 of the family's 1533-position model. The record is from RNAcentral. Lineage: Bacteria; Pseudomonadati; Bacteroidota.
UAGGGAAUCUUCGGCAAUGGGGGGAACCCUGACCGAGCAACGCCGCGUGAGUGAAGAAGGCUUUCGGAUCGUAAAGCUCUGUUGUUAAGGAAGAACGAGUGUGAGAAUGGAAAGUUCAUACUGUGACGGUACUUAACCAGAAAGGGACGGCUAACUACGUGCCAGCAGCCGCGGUAAUACGUAGGUCCCGAGCGUUGUCCGGAUUUAUUGGGCGUAAAGCGAGCGCAGGCGGUUAGAUAAGUCUGAAGUUAAAGGCAGUGGCUCAACCAUUGUAGGCUUUGGAAACUGUUUAACUUGAGUGCAGAAGGGGAGAGUGGAAUUCCAUGUGUAGCGGUGAAAUGCGUAGAUAUAUGGAGGAACACCGGUGGCGAAAGCGGCUCUCUGGUCUGUAACUGACGCUGAGGCUCGAAAGCGUGGGGAGCGAACAGG